This is a long non-coding RNA of Poecile atricapillus (Black-capped chickadee), 706 nucleotides long. RefSeq lists it as uncharacterized. The record is from RefSeq and is a predicted model, not a curated record. The transcript has 4 exons. Lineage: Eukaryota; Metazoa; Chordata; Aves; Passeriformes; Paridae.
ACUGGGGGAGGCACCAGGAUUCUCACAGGUGCUCCCAGUUGUGGCACAGGUGAGAUGUCAACACCUGUGUGGUGGCACUGAGGGAGGGAAAUCUGCUGGGGUUGGGGCAGGACCCCCAGGGGUACAGAGGGCUCAGGUGAGCUCUGUGCUCACAGGUGGGGACACAGGCAAGAGCACAUGUGAGACGUGAGGAGGAGUCAGGUGAGGGCACAGGUGAGGGCACAGGUGAGGGAUCAGGUGAGGGCACAGGUGAUGGAUCAGGUGAGGGCACAGGUGAGGGAUCAGGUGAGGGCACAGGUGAGGGCACAGGUCAGGGCAGAGGUGAGGGAUCAGGUGAGGGCACAGGUCAGGGCAGAGGUGAGGGAUCAGGUGAGGGCACAGGUGAUCCCAGGAGGGAGUGAGGGAUGGGGCCAUCGGGUGCUCUGCUGCAAACAGCUGCCAGCACAUCCCCAUUUCCUGAGCCCCCAGGGGUGAUCCCAGAUUCCCCAGGGUGAUCCCAGGUUCCCAAUCCCCCAGGGUGAUCCCAGGUUCCCCAGGUGUGAUCCCAAUCCCCCAGGUGUGAUCCCAAUCCCCCAGGGUGAUCCCAGGUUCCCAAUCCCCCUCACCAAAGAAGGUGCCGGUGCUGCUGUCGCCGUCCUCGUGCUCGUGCUGGGGGUCCCGGCCGUGCUGGGACUCCUGGCACACGUAGAUGGUCAGGCGGGGCCGC